RNAcentral lists this long non-coding RNA (473 nucleotides) under Heterocephalus glaber (naked mole-rat). RNAcentral describes it as "lncRNA (ENSHGLG00000048490.1)". The record is from RNAcentral. Lineage: Eukaryota; Metazoa; Chordata; Mammalia; Rodentia; Bathyergidae.
AUGGCCUUUCUCUCUGACAGAAGGUCCACCAGCACCUUGGGAGCCGUGAUGGAGGAGAAGCAGAUGUCAAGAACGGAGAGGUUGCGGAGCAGGAAGGGAAAGUCCUUAAAGACAGCACUUCGCCAAGCAGUACCCUGCGUUUAACUCACGGAGACACUCAGGAGAACCCCUCCCUCGCCCUGACUCAGAUGCGUGUGGAUCGCUUGGACGACUUUUCCAGUGGAGGUUUUGCCACUUCCCAGCUGGCCAUGGGAAUCACUCCGUGAUACCACAGGCUAUGGGGACAGAUGUGCGGGUCACAGAAGGUGGCCUCGUGUCACUUCCAACACUCACAACUGCAGUUCACCCGCGACAUGGUAACAAUAAGAGCUCCCUCGUGCACAGGGUGCUCCUAAGGAGGAGGCAAGGUUGGAUGUCUGCUCUGGAAACUAAGGACAAUGCAGGAGCCUGACUUUCCCCGUGGCUGCCCAGCC